RNAcentral lists this ribosomal RNA (253 nucleotides) under uncultured bacterium. RNAcentral's name for it is "partial 16S ribosomal RNA". It matches the Rfam family "Bacterial small subunit ribosomal RNA", at positions 524 to 776 of the family's 1533-position model. The record is from RNAcentral.
UACGUAGGGGGCGAGCGUUGUCCGGAAUUACUGGGCGUAAAGAGCGCGUAGGCGGCCUGUUAAGUCAGGUGUGAAAACUUAAGGCUCAACCUUAAGAUUGCACUUGAAACUGGUAGGCUUGAGGUCAGGAGAGGAAAGCGGAAUUCCUAGUGUAGCAGUGAAAUGCGUAGAUAUUAGGAGGAACACCAGUGGCGAAGGCGGCUUUCUGGACUGAUUCUGACGCUGAGGUGCGAAAGCCAGGGGAGCAAACGGG